RNAcentral lists this ribosomal RNA (429 nucleotides) under Bacteroidota bacterium. RNAcentral's name for it is "Bacteroidetes bacterium partial 16S ribosomal RNA". It matches the Rfam family "Bacterial small subunit ribosomal RNA", at positions 355 to 776 of the family's 1533-position model. The record is from RNAcentral. Lineage: Bacteria; Pseudomonadati; Bacteroidota.
UAGGGAAUCUUCGGCAAUGGGGGGAACCCUGACCGAGCAACGCCGCGUGAGUGAAGAAGGUGUUCGGAUCGUAAAGCUCUGUUGUUAAGGAAGAACGAGUGUGAGAAUGGAAAGUUCAUGCUGUGACGGUACUUAACCAGAAAGGGACGGCUAACUACGUGCCAGCAGCCGCGGUAAUACGUAGGUACCGAGCGUUGUCCGGAUUUAUUGGGCGUAAAGCGAGCGCAGGCGGUUAGAAAAGUCUGAAGUGAAAGGCAGUGGCUCAACCAUUGUAGGCUUUGGAAACUGUUUAGCUUGAGUGCAGAAGGGGAGAGUGGAAUUCCAUGUGUAGCGGUGAAAUGCGUAGAUAUAUGGAGGAACACCGGUGGCGAAAGCGGCUCUCUGGUCUGUAACUGACGCUGAGGCUCGAAAGCGUGGGGAGCGAACAGG